AAAAGCAGUUUCAGGUUAGUCCGCAUAAUUUAGUUACAAGUGUUAUUUGGUUGACUGUCGUUGUUACUUAUCCGAUCUGAAUCUAAAGGUUCCAUGUUUCUGACAAAACAAUGGCUGAUUUGCUAGCUGUAGAGCGCAAGCUAAAUGAUACAGGCUCUGCUGUGAAAACCAACGGGUCUCUUCUUUUACAAGCUUUUGCUACAGUUGAAUUACUCAAUAUGUGUGUGUGUUUUAUAUCAUUUGGUGAUCAAGUUUUAAUGUAUCUUGAUGAAAUGUAGACCUUUGUAACAUAUUUGCACCUUUGGAGUAACAUAUGAUGUCCUUUAUCAGUAUGGCUGAUCCUUCGCCCUUAUUUCCUCUACUUGUUGAUAUGUGUCUGCUGGAACAAGCUGGUUCAAUGGUGCCUUCAGCAAAGUCGCCGAGGCUGGUCAUGUUGCCGGCUCAAGAACAACAGAAAAGUUCCAGAUAGUUGUGUCAAAUAUAUCAGCCAAAGGACCUGCCGUCGUUGCUUGAGCUUGUUGAGUUUGUUCUGGGAGCUCCUCUUCCUGGG
Aegilops tauschii subsp. strangulata is the source of this 550-nucleotide non-coding RNA. The record is from RefSeq and is a predicted model, not a curated record. Lineage: Eukaryota; Viridiplantae; Streptophyta; Magnoliopsida; Poales; Poaceae.